CAGGACUGUGCUAUAGGCUUCUUAGGUUCAUCCUUUCAAAGCUGAUGGUUCUUUCCAUAAAUGACCCACCAAGGAUGGAGAAGGACAGAAACCACAUGGCUGCAAGGAUACUAGACCUCACCCUGGAGAUCAUCUACUUGAUAACUGGAGAGGAUUACACAGUAGUGAAGAAGUCGUCUGGUGAGUGUGUGACACCCC
This is a long non-coding RNA of Bufo bufo (common toad), 198 nucleotides long. RefSeq lists it as uncharacterized. The record is from RefSeq and is a predicted model, not a curated record. Lineage: Eukaryota; Metazoa; Chordata; Amphibia; Anura; Bufonidae. The transcript is spliced from 3 exons.